Non-coding RNA from Paramuricea clavata, 409 nucleotides. NCBI's taxonomy places the organism in Eukaryota, Metazoa, Cnidaria, Anthozoa, Malacalcyonacea, Plexauridae. The record is from the annotation of a GenBank genome assembly.
GUUGAAUCGUGAGAAAAUCUGUGGUUUUGUUACAGAUUUUUCUCCCGAUUUUGUGAAUCGCAAUGUGCUGACGCGAGACUCACGACAGGUUGUUUACAUACAGCGAGCAAAAUCGGCCCGACAAAUCGCAGCGUGUAAACGUACCUUAAGCUUUCACAACUUCGACAAUGCGUAUUUUGUCGUUUACACCGUGCAAAUUUACAUGAAGCCUCCAACUUCGAGACUUAGGUAUUUCGAUGUGAGAUUGUUGACGUGGUGACAGCUUGCCUUCAUCGCUGUCAAGAUAUGAUGAUCUGGAAGCCUGGGAAACUUCAAAGCCACAAAAUAGAAGAGCUUUGUUUGAUGUUGAACUAUACCUCACCAUGCACAAAUCCUUUGUCUCAACUUCAUUAAAUAUUAUUCAUCGUGG